Molecule: RNA transcript, 4385 nt
Organism: Pipra filicauda (Wire-tailed manakin)
Lineage: Eukaryota; Metazoa; Chordata; Aves; Passeriformes; Pipridae
Gene name: BPI fold-containing family C protein-like
Exons: 14
Source: RefSeq, a predicted model, not a curated record
UGAAUGUGUAUCUGAAUGUGCCUGUAAGUAGACAGUUGCCUUUUAUUCCUAUACUUGUAGAAAGAAAUGAUGGAACUGUUCUGGAAGCCUUAGUGUGUUUUUGUUAACUUUUGCUAAAAGUCUUAUCUAAACUGGGUGGUACUCUAUUAGAAGAAUCAUAACAUGUUAGAAGGAUAUGAUGAGGAUAAGCUGACAUAGUUUUCAGACAAUUCAGUUGUUUGUACAUCUUAGAGAUCUGUGGAUGGAAAAGAUGGAACUUUCCCUUGCUUUAUAGGAACUGCAGAACUUGUGCCAAAAGAACUUAUAGAGGUUUAUGUAACUGAUGGUGCGAAUGAUAUUCAUCAUCAGUUGCCAGAGAUAUAAAUAAUGAAAUUAUUAUGCAUGUGACUCCCUGCAGUGAAUGUUAAAUCUGUGUAAAUGUGAGUAUCUGUUGACUGACUGACAAGUGCCUCUACCUUUUCUAUUCAUGGAUUGCACAAUGAAGUGACUCAGAUUGUCCAGCAAAGUGCUCCGUGCCAGAGGGAAUUUGCUUGGUACAUGCAAGCUAAUUGAUUAAAUCACCUCCUUGACAAGCCAAGGAGUGCUGGUUAGCUGAAGUACCAGUUAACUGGAUAAGUAAGGACAAGAAAUAGAAAAUAUUGACUACAAGGACUUGAUACUAUAUAUUUGCACCAUAAAUACACACUAUAGUGUCUGUGUGUAUAUACAUAUGCUAUAACAUAAAUCUUAUAUGGUUUGUGGUUUUCUGUAUCCUGAGCAAUUUCAGACAGAUGGGCCUUGUUUUCCAUCUGUUCUUCACAAUGAUUGCACAUUAAUUUAUUUCUUUCAAAAUACAGACCUGGCUAUGAGUGUCUGUCCUUUGGAAUUACUGGAAUUUGAGUGCCUGUCCUUUGGAAUUAGUGGAAUUCUUACUGGGGUUUCCUCUCGGGUCCAUCUGAAAAGCCAGUGCGGAAACAGUCUGCCACAAAGGCAGUAUGCCAUCCCAGACUCAGCACCCCAAUGCCUGAGCACCUCCAUCCAACAGUUCACAUUGCCCCCUGCUUAUCCCUAAAUGAAAUUUGAUAGAUUUAACCUGGGACUAUCCCAAAAUAGUUUGGGAUGUGAUUAUCAGAGGCCACUCCCUGUGUGAUACUGCUGAAGAUGGUAGCAAUUGGCUGUCUUAAAGCUCUCAACUCUUUCCUUUAAAAGAAGGGGUUGUGGUGGCAGAUGAUUCUCCCUGCAUUGUCCUCAGUCCUGUGGUCUGGUACAGUAAGAGUCUUCUCUUCAGUCUUCAGAGGAGAGGUAUGAAAAUAAAUAUGUUGUGAUUACUCUUUGUUGAGGAGGGGCUUUGUUGGGCAGAGAUAGAUGUAGCUAAAUCUGGUUAAAUGUUGAGAUUUUAUGAUUUGAGAACUAUGCCUAUGUUAAAUACACAUUUCCUUCCAGUACUUUGUUUUUGUUCUAUACAUGGACUGUGUUCCUUUCACCUUUGGAUUCCACACAUGAAGUGUGUUUCUUUCAUCUCUCAAUAAAAGUCAGUUAAAAUUAAAAAGGAAAUACUAUCAUACUAAAAGGCAAAGGUGUUCUGUGGGGUUGCUUGAACUCUUAUAAAAAUUUAAGUCAAUGUUAUAAUUUUGCAGUUUGCUUAAAUUGUUAUCAUAACUGAAAAUAUUUUAGAGUUUUGAGGUGUAUUAUUACUUCUGGUAAUGAAACAGCAAAUAAGCAAAACCAAACAUCUGUUGGACCACGGCGUUUGCACAGAGAGUUUCUGGAUAAAACUUAACGUAUUUAUUAACAUGUGGUCUAGGGAAUAUGAAAACAUUGUCUGCUGGCACCAAAUCAUUUUCUUUUGUUGACUGUCAGGAGGGAACAUAAGGCACUUCUCAAAAUUGUGACUAAGAUCUUAAUAAGUAGCUCCAAAAGUGGGGGUAUCUGUGCCUGUAAUUAAGUGAGCUGAUCAGGUUUUCCAAAGUGCUAAGAUGCAGUGAUGUCUGCUGAAUCACCAAGAGGCACUGAGAGCAUUACAUAUUUUGUGAAAAAAUAGGCUACUUAUUUCACUAGCGAGAGGUGGGAGGGGAAAUGACAGCCUAAAAAUUCAAUGUCACAUUGCUUUCGACAGGGUUUGUCUGGAUGGAUGUAUCCCAAGUGCUUUCCCCAGUCUCUGUGGCAGGGAAUAGGCUGACUUUUCUCCUCUACCCCAUGAACUGUAUUUUUGUAACAGUCUGUGCAGAAUGAGUGCUCUCUUCCAUGGUUGCUGAGCCUUCCACUUUCUUCACUCUAGAGGGAAAGCUGGUGUCUAGGGUGGAGGGGAAAGGAGUACAACCACCAAGUGACAUAGCAUGAACUUUGCUAUCAUUAUAAAUAUUUAUUAACAGGUCCUGUAAAAAAUGAGGAAGAUGCUGAAGAUUUGCUGUUCUCUCCUUCUCUUAAGUUUGCUCAGUGGGCAAUUCAAUGCCAACCCUGGACUCAAAGUGAGGAUCACCCAGAAGGGCUUGGAGUAUGCCAAGGAGGUUGGGUUUGAAAUCCUGAAGCAGAAUAUGGAAAAGGAGCGUUUCCCUGAUUUGACUGGCCAUGAGAAAUUUGGGCUUGGUAAUGUCAAAUACAACAUCUCUGGAAUACAUGUCACUGCUGUUGAAUUACCCAGUGCUUCCAUCUCCCUCCUACCUGGGUCUGGGAUAAAACUGGUGAUAGGAAAUGCUUCUCUAACCAUCGACAUGAACUGGAACAUAAGGACCUGGAUGUUCAAAGAUAGUGGAAGAAGCACAGUGCACAUUUCAAAGGUGUUUGUCACUGCAAUCUUUUCAACUCCUCGGGAUAAUACAAGUCCUACGUUAAUAUCCCUUACCAGCUGCCGGACAACUUCUGGUGACAUAGAUAUCAAGCUGAAUGGAAAAAGCGGCUUCCUGCAUAACUUCUUUAUCAAGUAUCUGAAGAAACCUAUUCACAGGAGCUUGGUCACUAAUUCAUGUCCCAAUAUCAGAGCUGGGAUCCAUUUGAUAGAUGAAGACCUCCGAUCGCUGAAUGUUGUAAUGCCAAUUGAUGAUUUGGCUGAAGUAGACUACUCCUUAAGUAGCUUGCCAGCAGUAUUCCAACCAUUCAUUGACCUGGACUUAAAGGGCACAGUCUUCCCAGCUGGAAACUAUACUGGCUCUCCCUACGUGGUAGCUCCCUUCACUGUCACAGACCAAAGAGACUCCAUGCUCUUCCUGGCCUUCUCUGAGUAUUUUUUUCAGACCUCCUCAUUUGCUUACUACACCGCAGGGGCCUUCAACAUGACCAUUGCAGAGGAGACCUGCAGCUAUUUUAAUAUAAGCACAGAGAUAUUUAGCAGUAUCAUCCCUGAGGUCGCCAAAUACUCAGUUACACCCUAUCCAGUAAUGUUGAAGCUAAUGGCUACUGAAAUACCUGUCAUCAGCUUAGAGCAGGAUUCCUUCACAGUAGAAAUUCAGGGCUCCAUGGAGGUGUUGGCUGUUCUGCCAGACUCAACCACCCAGUCGCUGUUCACAAUGAACGUAGCAGCCAACAGCAGCAUUUCUCUGAAUGUAUUUGAUCAGAAAUUGAUGGGCUCACUAUGUUUGAACAGGCUCCAGUUCUCCCUAGCCCACUCCAAUGUUGGCUUUUUUGAGCCACCUCUCUGCUGUGGACUUAGAAGUAUAUUCUUUGGGACAAGUUAGUGCUCUGCAAAUGAGACAUGCUGUAGUUCCCCAAACUGCAGAAAGCAGAGAUCUCUCCAAUCACCACGGUGAAACACAGAGCGGUAAUCUAAGCUUUGGCAGCAGAGCAGUGUGCCAUCUAAUGGUCACAUGGAUGGCUGAGGCACAGGCACUCCAUGUGCUGCAGUGGUGCUCAUCACAGAUGCUCGGGAUUACAAUAGGGAGGGGGAGCCAAGAUACUUAUCUCAGAUGCCUGAAAUAGUGCAGUUGUAGCUUGGCAGGGGAAAACCCUGCCUCCGCAGAGAGUCGUUUUAUUCUCAGCAUAAUCAAUCAGUUCCGAGUAGCUGAGGAGAAAGGAUUAAAACUGUUCUGGUCCUGCUUUGCUAUUGGUGAUAAAUUAUCUCACAAAUAAAGGAAAUAGACUGUUUUAAACGAAAACGUUGGCUAAGCAUGUUGAAAUACAUUUGCAUUUUGCAUCUCACUUCCUUUGCAUCAUUCCAAAGCCUUAAGAUCCAAAGUUCACUUGGGUUUAUGACUCUUUGAGGCCAAAAGAGAUGAAAGUUGAACAUGAGCCUACUAAUUCCACCCAGGAUUAGGGCACGACAGUUCUACCAUCAUCAGGAAGUGAUGGCUAAUUCAGUUUUCUUGUCUGUGGCAGAUCUCGCUUCUGGAGAACAUCCUGUCUUACAUUUUACAGACUGAAGUAAUUCCAUCAGCUAACGCCAAACUCUCAAAAGGAUUCCCUCUUCCCAAUCU